CCUGGCUCAGGACGAACGCUGGCGGCGUGCUUAACACAUGCAAGUCGAGCGGAAAGGCUCCUUCGGGGGUACUCGAGCGGCGAACGGGUGAGUAACACGUGAGUAAUCUGCCCUGCGCUCUGGGAUAGCCACCGGAAACGGUGAUUAAUACCGGAUAUGACCGCUACACGCAUGUGUUGGUGGUGGAAAGUUUUUCGGCGCAGGAUGUGCUCGCGGCCUAUCAGCUUGUUGGUGAGGUAAUGGCUCACCAAGGCUUUGACGGGUAGCCGGCCUGAGAGGGUGACCGGUCACACUGGGACUGAGACACGGCCCAGACUCCUACGGGAGGCAGCAGUGGGGAAUAUUGGACAAUGGGCGGAAGCCUGAUCCAGCAACGCCGCGUGAGGGAUGACGGCCUUCGGGUUGUAAACCUCUUUCAGUACCGACGAAGCGA
RNAcentral lists this ribosomal RNA (433 nucleotides) under Nocardioides sp. IGS24. RNAcentral's name for it is "bacterial SSU rRNA". It matches the Rfam family "Bacterial small subunit ribosomal RNA", at positions 18 to 453 of the family's 1533-position model. The record is from RNAcentral. Lineage: Bacteria; Bacillati; Actinomycetota; Actinomycetes; Propionibacteriales; Nocardioidaceae.